CCCAGACUCCUACGGGAGGCAGCAGUGGGGAAUAUUGGGCAAUGGGCGCAAGCCUGACCCAGCAACGCCGCGUGAAGGAAGAAGGCUUUCGGGUUGUAAACUUCUUUUGUCAGGGACGAAGCAAGUGACGGUACCUGACGAAUAAGCCACGGCUAACUACGUGCCAGCAGCCGCGGUAAUACGUAGGUGGCAAGCGUUAUCCGGAUUUACUGGGUGUAAAGGGCGUGUAGGCGGGGAAGCAAGUCAGAUGUGAAAACCACGGGCUCAACCUGUGGCCUGCAUUUGAAACUGUUUUUCUUGAGUGCUGGAGAGGCAAUCGGAAUUCCGUGUGUAGCGGUGAAAUGCGUAGAUAUACGGAGGAACACCAGUGGCGAAGGCGGAUUGCUGGACAGGAACUGACGCUGAGGCGCGAAAGCGUGGGGAGCAAACAGGAUUAGAUAC
Molecule: ribosomal RNA, 441 nt
Filed under: uncultured bacterium
Lineage: Bacteria
Description: bacterial SSU rRNA
Rfam family: Bacterial small subunit ribosomal RNA
Source: RNAcentral